GAUGCGUAGGCGGCCAGGAAGUGGAGCCACCUCCGUCUGCGAGUGGCGGCGCCAACACCGUUUUUACGCUUCCGCGAGGCCUAACCGUAGCUCUUCAGGCUCGCGGAGCGCUUUGUCUUCCGCCGCCGGCACCGUAUUCGGCGGGCUGAGUGAUUCCUCGUCCGGGCGCGACGAACCGCACACCAGCCCUAGGCAAAGAGGAGAAGUAGACUGUCGCCUUCUUGGUUGUUGCCGCUACUGAGGGGAGGACGGUAGCUGCGGAUGCGGCUUCUGAUGUUGGCGACGAAGCCUCUGGGGUUCACCUUCGCUGGUUGCUCCUUCACCAAUUCUCGCACAAACCAAGAGCAGGAACUCAACUUCACGGAACGGACCUCUCGCGUACCUCGGCGGACACGUAACAAACCAACCACUAGACCCCUUAGUUGACGUGCGGACCGGACCAUAUUCAGACCGUAGGGGAGACAUAGAUGUUUUCUCCUCAGCUACAUCAUUGGUUUGAUCGCUAUUCAGACCGUAGGGGAGGCAUAGAUGAUCGUAGAUGAUCAUCAAACGAUAGCAUAAAACGAUACAUCGAUACAACUUGUACGAUAGCUUGUUAGAUACAGAACGAUACAGCUUGAACCAUACAGGACAGGAUAAAUACAACUAGAUGCAGAACGAUAAAAGUGCAACGUACGUAACGUACCUAAACCCCCAAUCGUAUACUCCCCCUGCCGACACCUGCGCCUGUAAACUCCCCACUGGCCUGUGCAGGCUCCUAUAUAUCCCCGAGUUUAAUCAUGAUGGAGGCAAGGUUUAAUAUUCUACAAAACCUAUAAAGUUAUACCAGAUGUAUCUGACUUUACUCACUUGUUUGUGUGAUUUUGCGCAGAUAUAUGUAGGCUAAGAGUAAAAAAAUAUUCUAGAAUAUUAAACCUUACCUUCCCCAUGUAAGACCAACAUCUACGAGAUACAAUCCCAACAUUUGAACCAUUUGUCUAAGUCAAAAGAAUUACAAGUGGAGGCUCGAAGACUACCGCUCGGAGGAAUACUAGACUGAGUGAUAGCAGUAGAACAAUCAACGGAGAAGAUAGAUCGUAGAGGAUAGGUCAAGCGCAAGACCCAGUGGAGGAAGCCCAACAUGUAUAGAAAGCUUAGAGACCGGUGAAAGACGAAUUACACAGAAAAGAAUCAAUCAAAGAGUAACGGUCCUUCUGUUUCUUUGUAUAACGUUAAAGGGCAAACUCGUCUCCGGUACCAACGUUCGAUACCGAGAACACUGUCUCCACUGAACUAAUACCACCAAUGAACUCCUAAAAACAGAAAAACAAUGAUGUAACUGAGGAGAAAACAGAUUGUUGUGUACACGAUAACCAUAAAGAACUCUAGACCAUUUUCGUACUCGAGUUGUUUGUAUAACCAUACCUGCGAAUAUGAGGGAGGCAGGGUUUUAUUCACAGAGUUGAAACAUGAUCGAAAUCAUGUUUCAACAUGAUUCGAACUCUGUGAAUAAAACCCUGUCUCCCUCAUACUCUAUUAUCCAUGUUCUAGUCCAACGAGAAGUCAUACACGGAAGUCUCGAAGUCAACCUCCGGAACCCUUAUCUAGUCCUACGAAGGGAGCAUUUUCGAAGCGACUAGCGACGAUUCCGUGUCCCACGACUACUGCAGCGACUGUUGCUUCCGUUCCCGUAGUACGAUAAAACAGUCAUGUUCCCUUCGCUUCUCUUACCACUCCUGAGACCGACUAGAUGACUUCCUUCGACAUGCACUAUCAAAGAAAGAUGCUACUAACAAAAGAAGGACGGCUAAGGGUUCUCCUAGACCCCGGAGAAGGGUAACCUCCGUAUAUACAUAAGGACUCAUAUAGAACGUACAUGACAGAACAGUAUCGUUCGUUGAACCCUGGUCGAAGUCUGUUCAUCAUACAAAGUCAAAACUUGGUUUGAUCCGAUGAGGACGUUACUUACUUAGAGGGAAAACCAAACGUGUGUGUCACCUAACAUGACGACAAGGAAAAAAACCCGUUGACGCAUCUAUCAUG
Molecule: ribosomal RNA, 2022 nt
Filed under: Triticum aestivum (bread wheat)
Lineage: Eukaryota; Viridiplantae; Streptophyta; Magnoliopsida; Poales; Poaceae
Description: partial small subunit ribosomal RNA
Source: RNAcentral